This 1455-nucleotide long non-coding RNA is filed under the name Equus asinus (donkey). RNAcentral's name for it is "lncRNA (ENSEASG00005031160.1)". The record is from RNAcentral. Lineage: Eukaryota; Metazoa; Chordata; Mammalia; Perissodactyla; Equidae.
GUGAAAUUAGUGCUUGGGAUUCCCUCACUGUAAUGACUGACUGUUUUGUCGGCCAGGAUUGGAUUAACCUAAGGGUAUUCAGAGAUCUAUGUAUCUCACUGGGUCAUCUGCAUUUUACUGAGGAAUAGGAAGAUUAACUGCAGGCACCAGACUGGUCGUCCCACUUAACGUAACCCUGGAAAGUUCCUCUCGCAUUCCAGAAACUACUCAGUCUCCUGCCUCUGUGAAGUUUGCCUAUCUGUCUGGCAAAAGACAGUUCAGGUCGUGUUUUUCACAAGCAAUAGAAAAAGCCAGUUUCAACAAAGCUAGGAGUUUGUCCUAAGAAUCUGGAGUUACUUAAGAGAUAUUUCAACAACCUGUGUCUUCAGUAAGGCUCCCCGGAAACAGACGCCUAAACAGAGAGCUACAUGCCGGGUGCUGUGGUUUUUUGUUUUGUUUUGGUGGGGGGUGCUCUAAGAAACAACACCUGUAGGGGGAGUAAGGGAAACAGACUUGGGCAGAGGAAGAAGUUGAACUUUGAUGCCGUUGUAUUCAGCUAAGCCUACAGGGUGCUGGAUAUCAGUGUAAAAUUGUCUCCAGUAAAAGGAGCUGGGGGCCUUUGUAUCCCUACGAGCAGUCAUCUGAUGCUGAUUGCCCCAGGGAGGGGUGUAACCUUGUGUAAGGCAGCUCCCUUGCUGAGGGCCGUCCAGAGGGGCACUCAGCUGUGAAUCACCCACGGCUAACGCUGCAGCUGCAGAAUCAGGGUAUCCACCAGAACCUGCUGCGCAGCUAGUUGGUGUCUGCUUUUCCAUCAACUUGUAAAUUACUGGAGAGGAGGACCUCAAGACAUUCUCCCUUGUUUUCUUCACAAUCAGGGAUGAUAUUGAAGAUAGUUAACACCCAGUACAGCACAGGCACCAACCAACUCAAAUGGACACUGUUCUUAGGCAAUUCGUAUGGCUAUACUAGUGGAUACAGCUGCAUAUUUGUUCUGCACACAGAAGGCAUCCAAUAAAUGAUCGUUGGAUUGAAUUUCAUUGGUUUGGUCAUCAUGGCCUUGCCACCUUUGUUCCAGAUAAAAGGAUCUGUAUGAGAGAAGCAGCUCUGGCACAUGCACACUUGCGGAUGCCGUUCAUCUGCUUUUCUCCUGGGACUACCAGGAAAUAAAUUAGCUAUCAGAUCAGAGCAAACCAAAAUUUAAAAGAUCAUAAAUGAAAAAUGAAUGUGUUGUUAUUUGACUUUUUUGUAUCGUUAUUCAUAGAUUUUCUUAAAGUAAUAAUCAGAGAACAUCAUCAACUAAAAUAUGUUUGUAACCCAAGUCAGUGACGAACUUGGUAAACACGGCAGAAUUACGCCCUCUCUUAAUUAGCCUUUGGGGAGACACCAAGUUUUGAACCGCUGCUUGUAGCUCUGGGAAUCUUCUAAGAAGCAGGAGUAGAUUAACCUCUAGAAGAGAAAUAUGCCAAAAACUGAUUU